RNAcentral lists this ribosomal RNA (468 nucleotides) under uncultured bacterium. RNAcentral's name for it is "partial 16S ribosomal RNA". It matches the Rfam family "Bacterial small subunit ribosomal RNA", at positions 28 to 507 of the family's 1533-position model. The record is from RNAcentral.
GACGAACGCUGGCGGCGUGCUUAACACAUGCAAGUCGAACGGAAAGGCCCUGCUUUUGUGGGGUGCUCGAGUGGCGAACGGGUGAGUAAAACGUGAGUAACAUGCACUUGACUUUGGGAUAACUUCAGGAAACUGGGGCUAAUACCGGAUAGGAGCUCCUGCUGCAUGGUGGGGGUUGGAAAGUUUCGGCGGUUGGGGAUGGACUCGCGGCUUAUCAGCUUGUUGGUGGGGUAGUGGCUUACCAAGGCUUUGACGGGUAGCCGGCCUGAGAGGGUGACCGGCCACAUUGGGACUGAGAUACGGCCCAGACUCCUACGGGAGGCAGCAGUGGGGAAUAUUGCACAAUGGGCGGAAGCCGGAUGCAGCAACGCCGCGUGCGGGAUGACGCCCUUCGGGGUGUAAACCGCUUUCGCCUGUGACGAAGCGUGAGUGACGGUAAUGGGUAAAGAAGCACCGGCUAACUACGUG